Molecule: ribosomal RNA, 492 nt
Filed under: uncultured bacterium
Lineage: Bacteria
Description: partial 16S ribosomal RNA
Rfam family: Bacterial small subunit ribosomal RNA
Source: RNAcentral
AGUGAACGCUGGCGGUAGGCCUAACACAUGCAAGUCGAACGGCAGCACAGUAAGAGCUUGCUCUUACGGGUGGCGAGUGGCGGACGGGUGAGGAAUACAUCGGAAUCUACUUUUUCGUGGGGGAUAACGUAGGGAAACUUACGCUAAUACCGCAUACGACCUACGGGUGAAAGCAGGGGAUCUUCGGACCUUGCGCGAUUGAUUGAGCCGAUGUCGGAUUAGCUAGUUGGCGGGGUAAAGGCCCACCAAGGCGACGAUCCGUGGCUGGUCUGAGAGGAUGAUCAGCCACACUGGAACUGAGACACGGUCCAGACUCCUACGGGAGGCAGCAGUGGGGAAUAUUGGACAAUGGGCGCAAGCCUGAUCCAGCCAUACCGCGUGGGUGAAGAAGGCCUUCGGGUUGUAAAGCCCUUUUGUUGGGAAAGAAAAGCAGCAGGUUAAUACCCCGCUGUUCUGACGGUACCCAAAGAAUAAGCACCGGCUAACUUCGUG